GAGAAAACAUGUGAAUGUUUAGGCUUUUUAUGACUAGGUGGGGGCCACUAGGGGCUAUAAAAGGCUGAGUAACCCGUCACCAUUUUGAGACAUGCUGUGACCCUCUUCAAGCAUCUCUCCCCAUCAUGAUGCCCAAAGAUUAAAAGAACUGGGAGAUUUUAACAACUUGGUGCCUGGUGACCCGGAUCUUUGGCGUGCUGAGGAAUGGCAGAUUUGGCCUGUGGUGAGAUCGUGGGGCGAGGCGAACAGAGGACCGGUACAAACAGAAAGGUAAGCACAGCCUGUUGUAUUAUAAAUACCAAAUGUGCAUAUUGGGCUUUCCAAAUUAAUCUGUUCGCUGAGUUACACGUAUUUUCACAGUAAAUUUGUCGGUGUCUGGUUUUUGGCACAAGAUACUAACAACAUAAGUUGAGGCUGAAUUCCAGUGUGUUAAAUGAACUGCUUCUAGCAAGAUACUAAUAACAUACUACGUUGAGUCUAGUUGCAGCCCACUUUACCUUCCACAUUUAACUUUGUCUAAGACUGGCUUCUGUAGCAAUAAUACAUUAGAAUCUUUGGAGACGCGGCCAUAUGUCCAGUACAUUGAAUAGAGGUUUUGAAGUGGGUUAUGGUGUCGGUUGAGUCCUCGUUGAUGCGGCCAUGAAAUUAGUAUGAAAUUAAGGUUAAGCAGAUACUGGCUUACGGUGCGGUUGAGCGCCGGCAACGCGUAAAUGCGAAACACGUCCGUAGGUUUUGGUUUAUGAUACGGCCGUGUUCCGGUGAUGCGGCCGUAAGUACAGUAGUGAGGGGUUGCUGGUUUCAGCACAAUUGAAAAGAGGUUAGACGGUGGUUUAUGGUGUCGUUUUUGAGCCUCGAGGGCUGCGGUCAUAAAAUUAUAAGUAAAAUAUUUACUUCACCCCGAUUAAAGGUAAAGUAGACGCUGGUUUAUGGUGUCGGUUUUGAGCUUCGGGGACGAGCAUCACUUCUGUUUAUGAUGCGAUUUUGCCCCGUGGUGGCGGUCAUAAGCGCAGUAAAAGGAGUACAUGGUGUAUGGUGCGGUUGUGCUUCGGAAGAGUUCUAACAGUUGAGUUCAGAGGUUUCUGUGUAAAUUUCCGCUGAUGAGAAGCGCUCUCUGUGGGUCUCACUGCUGGUGAAACGCGCUGUGUGUGUGAGGCGCGCACUGGGUGCUGUUCUGUGUGUGAAGCGCGCUCUGGGUGCUGCUCUGUGUGUGAGGCGCGCUCUGGGUGUGUUUCCGUGUGUGAAGCGUGAACACAGUGACAGUGACGGUUGAUGUGUGAAUAGGAGGACAUUAGUGCGAAGAAAAUGCUUUAAGAUCAAAGGUUGACGCCUAGUGUACCUGUGGAAAUUAAUUUUGUUCAAGGUGUGGCAACCCCCCUGUCUGUGGACGCACAGGCCGGUCCAGCGUCGUCUGGGUGCCGAGGUGGCGACUUGGGAACUGAGGACUCCCGCAUAGCUACAGAAUAACACUGGAACGGCCGUGUAAUCACGGGCUCACAUUUAUUCUGGAAUAGAACAAGAAAAUGCUUUGACAUCUAAGGUUGAGUUCUAUAGUAGUCAAAAAAGAAAACCGAGGUUAGAGUCCUCAUUUCUUAAAAUAAGAGGUUAGAGUCCUCGUUAUAGUGACGUUUCAGUGGUUAAAAUUGUUGUGUGCCUGUCCCCUGAUAACGUGAAAUUACGAAUAAAGAGGGAAUUUGGAGCCACAUAGAGAUAGACGGGCAUAAUUGGGUGUAUUACUCUGUGGUGUAAUAAAAAAAAAUAAUAAAAAAAGGAGAGAGAGAUAGUAAGAGGUGUGUAGUGGAGAAUUAUUGAGAAGCAGAGAGAGGAAUAUGUUGGGAGACGGGCGUGCAGUUUUCGCUGUCAAGGUGGGCGUGUUGCCUGCUUAUCUGUUUAACAAUGAUGAAAAUGAUAUUAAAUAAAUCUCUUAGUGUGUUAAUACAGGAAGCUACGGACCUGGACCAACUGCCCCCACAAGCACAGCGGCCGAAGCAAAAUUAUAGUAAUGGGAACCACACCCAGCAAGAAUCAGCAGCUGUGAAACAGACAGCAGCGAGGAGAGAAUUAGAGGAGAAAUGAAGGUUUUAAGAGCACAUGAAAUUGGGUUGAAUUUUGGGGCCAACGGACUUGUGGAGGUUGGGAAGGCGUCCGGAGCAUCACAACAAAAGGUGAAACAAAAACACACACGAGCAGAGAAAUGUGAGAGAAAGGCUCCUGUUAAGGUAAUGCCUAGUUUGAGAAAAAGUUAAAAUUAACCUGCCUACAAAUGCACACACAUGCAAUGAAAAAACAGCUUACACUCAUGAACAUGUGAAGAUUUUCCAGCAAGGUUAAAGCAGCAAAAAUUAACAUACUUCUGUUGUUAAAUGAUGAAGUUUAUCCAUUACUAACAAAUAAACCCUCUGGGUUGCAGGACAACAAUUUAGCUUCAAAGAAAAAGAAAAUAAAGAGACUGGUAUGACCAAUGAGUGAUGAAACAACAAAUUUAGUAGUUAACAGUCAAAUUGUGAGAUGUUUUCUGAUGAUUGAACAACACAAGUGAUUACGGACGGAAAGAAAAUUUCUCUUUUGUGAGUUUAAACAUGAUCUUAAGAAAUUGAACAUGUGCAUGUUGUCCUGUCAACUUGGUGGGUUAUGAGUUGAUUAUAGCGUGGAAAAAAAAAAAAAAAAAAAAAAAGGGAGAGAAGGCUGACACAGGGCCUGGCCUGGUGUUUCUCCCCUCUCUUUGUAACACAGCCAACACAACAUCAUUUUCCUGUUCGUACACUUCGGUUUGUUUUUGUUUUGUUUUGUUUUGUUUUUUUCUCUUUAUGUUUAAUUACAGGCUGCUUUGCCGGCCCUGAAAGCCGAGGCUGACCUGGACUCCUGCUCUCCCCUCUACGUGACCCUGACCAAAUGCUGCAACAGCUGGACCCACAACAACAACCUGAAAAUGUCAGUGCUGCAGGAAUGCGAUCUCAUGCAGCAGAGACGGAGAGCACUAAAACCUGAGGCCCGUUUCACUACACGGGGGAAAAUUCUCAGACAGCUUCAGCUGACAGAGCUGUGACGAGACGCCCGCCAAGCCCGAAUGAAAAGUAAGGCCGAACAAAAGAAUGCUGAUCUUGAUAACUCUGCAUUCACACUGUGCAGGACAGUGAUGGACCAACACGGCAGCAAAAUGGGCGUGACAGAGACAGGAGGAGCAAGUGAGGUCAAAAGGCACCUCGGAAUGGACAAAAACACAGAGGAAGAUGCAGGUUUCACCUACGGUGAGCAUGGACACUGGAGAAAGGACUGCCCCAAUUGGGGUCAGAACCAGGACGGACUGAACUUUGAGCAGCAGCAGCAAUGGUCGCAAACAGACUGAAAAGGAGGAGGGCAGGACCCCAGGGCAUGCUUCAGGCCGUGGUUUACCCAAGACACCAGAACAGGAAAGUGAUGAGCACAAACACACACAUCUACAUACACUGAUGAAAAGAAACACUCACAUGAACAGAUGUGCACUCGUUGAUUGAGUGAAAAAGGACACACACACACACACACAUUGAAAGGCUGAUUCACUGAGAAGUGAUCCACACACAUACACAUACACAUGCACACGCUUGUGCAAUGAAGAGUGAUGCGCACACACAUACACGCUGAUGCAAUGAAGAAUGCUUUGCUAACAAAUGCUUAUGCUGAUAUGCAAAAUGCUGCACACAAACAUCCCAAUACAUAAUUUUUAUGAGGCCAUUGAUUAUCGUUGAUUACUUAAAAUGUGUUUUAUGUCACCCAGAGUACAUUUAUGUAGAUUUUAGGGGUAAGGUCUAAAACAGUUUGGUUAUGAAAACAAUGUCUGUGCGUGAUGUCUGUUUAUGGCUCAAGGCCUUGACUGAAUUCUUUGCUGUGCUUCAUACACAGCCCUGAUGAGGAGCAGUGGCACAGAGUGAAAAUGAUGAAUUAAUAGUGUAAGUUUAGGUCGAGAUGCGGCAUUUUCUG
Molecule: long non-coding RNA, 3954 nt
Organism: Oreochromis aureus
Lineage: Eukaryota; Metazoa; Chordata; Actinopteri; Cichliformes; Cichlidae
Source: Ensembl